AGGACGAACGCUGGCGGCGUGCUUAACACAUGCAAGUCGAGCGAGGCCCUACCUUCGGGUAGGUGACCUAGCGGCGAACGGGUGAGUAACACGUGGGCAACCUACCCUCAGCUCUGGGAUAACCCCGGGAAACCGGAGCUAAUACCGGAUAUGACCUAAAAGGACAUCCUUUUGGUGGAAAGUUUUUCGGCUGAGGAUGGGCCCGCGGCCUAUCAGCUAGUUGGUGGGGUCAUAGCCCACCAAGGCGACGACGGGUAG
This 258-nucleotide ribosomal RNA is filed under the name uncultured bacterium. Its description in RNAcentral is "partial small subunit ribosomal RNA". It matches the Rfam family "Bacterial small subunit ribosomal RNA", at positions 26 to 286 of the family's 1533-position model. The record is from RNAcentral.